This 73-nucleotide microRNA precursor is filed under the name Myotis lucifugus (little brown bat). Its description in RNAcentral is "mir-9193 microRNA precursor family". The record is from Rfam by way of RNAcentral. Lineage: Eukaryota; Metazoa; Chordata; Mammalia; Chiroptera; Vespertilionidae.
UGUGCACUUGGGGGGCCCUCAGCCUGGAUUGCAAGAGGGUGCAGGCCAGGCCGAGUGACCCCACCAGUGCACG